Molecule: long non-coding RNA, 441 nt
Organism: Pieris rapae (cabbage white)
Lineage: Eukaryota; Metazoa; Arthropoda; Insecta; Lepidoptera; Pieridae
Exons: 2
Source: RefSeq, a predicted model, not a curated record
UCAUAGUACAAUAUUAAUUGCCAAAUAUUCGCAAGUUAUGGGAAUUUUCGUCUGGUAUUGCCUUUUGGUCUAUAGCCUGACACUCUUUCAGGAAGUACCAUGUCAAUUCCAUCCUGGCGUGAUGCCAGCACACACUGAUGAUGACCUCGGUCUCGUAUUAACUGCCCUACUACUAGCCAGACAAAGGAAUUUGAACAUGAACAAUUGUAACAAACAGAGGAAGACGAUACCUAUACCAUAUCCUGUACCAUUUACAAGCUCGCCCAUCAUCUUCAGGUCGAGGGAUGGAGAAGACAAAACAGGGAGCUAUGAGGAAACUUCCCAAGAAGAUUCCAAAAGCGUUGAUCUCAAAUAUAAUCCUGUAAUAGUUGAAGAGUCUGAAGAAAUCACCAAUUAAUUUAAAGACCUUAUAAAAGAAAGAAAUACAUAAGUAAAACUGUA